RNAcentral lists this ribosomal RNA (823 nucleotides) under uncultured bacterium. RNAcentral describes it as "bacterial SSU rRNA". It matches the Rfam family "Bacterial small subunit ribosomal RNA", at positions 26 to 905 of the family's 1533-position model. The record is from RNAcentral.
GGGGCACAAUAGCGGCAGCCUACACAUGCAGUCGAACGCAUCUUCGGAUGAGUGGCAGACGGGUGAGGAACACGUGGGAACCUUUUCAGUGGUACGGAAUAACUCAGGGAAACCUGGGCUAAUGCCGUAUACGCCCUACGGGGGAAAGAUUUAUCGCCAUUGGAUGAGCCCGCGUCUGAUUAGCUUGUUGGUGAGGUAAUGGCUCACCAAGGCGACGAUCAGUAGCUGGUCUGAGAGGAUGAUCAGCCACACUGGGACAGAGACACGGCCCAGACCCCUACGGGAGGCAGCAGUGGGGAAUAUUGCACAAUGGGCGCAAGCCUGAUGCAGCCAUGCCGCGUGGGUGAAGAAGGCCCUAGGGUUGUAAAUCCCUUUCAGCGGGGAAGAUAAUGACGGUACCCGCAGAAGAAGCCCCGGCUAACUCCGUGCCAGCAGCCGCGGUAAUACGGAGGGGGCUAGCGUUGUUCGGAAUCACUGGGCGUAAAGCGCGCGUAGGCGGAUCGGUUAGUUGGGGGUGAAAUCCCGAGGCUCAACCUCGGAACUGCCCUCAAUACUGUCGAUCUCGAGUCCGGGAGAGGUGAGUGGAAUUCCUAGCGUAGAGGUGAAAUUCGUAGAUAUUAAGAAGAACACCAGUGGCGAAAGGGGCUCACUGGCCCGGUACUGACGCUGAGGUGCGAAAGCGUGGGGAGCAAACAGGAUAGAUACCCUGGUAGUCCACGCCGUAAACGAUGGAAGCUAGCCGUCGGCCGGCAUGCCGUUCGGGGGCGCAGUUAAGCCUUUAACUUUCCCGCCUGGGGAGUACGGGCCCAAGAUUAAACCUAAA